UACGUAGGGCGCAAGCGUUGUCCGGAAUUAUUGGGCGUAAAGAGCUCGUAGGCGGCCUGUUGCGUCCGCUGUGAAAUCCCGGGGCUCAACCCCGGGCGUGCAGUGGAUACGGGCUGGCUGGAGGCAGGCAGGGGAGAACGGAAUUCCUGGUGUAGCGGUGAAAUGCGCAGAUAUCAGGAGGAACACCGGUGGCGAAGGCGGUUCUCUGGGCCUUUACUGACGCUGAGGAGCGAAAGCGUGGGGAGCAAACAGG
This 253-nucleotide ribosomal RNA is filed under the name uncultured bacterium. RNAcentral's name for it is "partial 16S ribosomal RNA". It matches the Rfam family "Bacterial small subunit ribosomal RNA", at positions 524 to 776 of the family's 1533-position model. The record is from RNAcentral.